UGGGAAUAUUGGACAAUGGGCGCAAGCCUGAUCCAGCCAUGCCGCGUGGGUGAAGAAGGCCUUCGGGUUGUAAAGCCCUUUUGUCCGGAAAGAAAAGCACUGGAUUAAUACUUCGGUGUUCUGACGGUACCGGAAGAAUAAGCACCGGCUAACUUCGUGCCAGCAGCCGCGGUAAUACGAAGGGUGCAAGCGUUACUCGGAAUUACUGGGCGUAAAGCGUGCGUAGGUGGUUCGUUAAGUCUGAUGUGAAAGCCCUGGGCUCAACCUGGGAAUUGCAUUGGAUACUGGCGGGCUAGAGUGCGGUAGAGGAUGGCGGAAUUCCCGGUGUAGCAGUGAAAUGCGUAGAGAUCGGGAGGAACAUCUGUGGCGAAGGCGGCCAUCUGGACCAGCACUGACACUGAGGCACGAAAGCGUGGGGAGCAAACA
This 426-nucleotide ribosomal RNA is filed under the name uncultured Lysobacter sp. RNAcentral's name for it is "bacterial SSU rRNA". It matches the Rfam family "Bacterial small subunit ribosomal RNA", at positions 356 to 774 of the family's 1533-position model. Lineage: Bacteria; Pseudomonadati; Pseudomonadota; Gammaproteobacteria; Lysobacterales; Lysobacteraceae. The record is from RNAcentral.